This is a long non-coding RNA of Canis lupus familiaris (dog), 417 nucleotides long. RefSeq lists it as uncharacterized. The transcript has 3 exons. The record is from RefSeq and is a predicted model, not a curated record. Lineage: Eukaryota; Metazoa; Chordata; Mammalia; Carnivora; Canidae.
CGGACUCCGGGCGGGGGAGCUGCGCUUGUUUAGGAUCCGGAGGAGGUGGAGGAUGGGGAGAGGCACAGGCUGGGCCGCGGCCAGACAAAGUUCUCCAGACGAACAGAACCAAUGGAUGUGCAAAUGCAUGAAGAAGGGGAUUUGCUUCAAGGAAUUGGUUCACGCUGGCGGGAGGCUGGCAAUCCACUGGCUGGCAGGAAGCUGGGCGAGUGGAGGUGAGCCAUGCAGCGGUAGAGGCAAUGGGUUGAGAUGCUGAGCCACAGGAUUGAAGCAGCCUGGAUCUUUUCGUCAUUACAUGGACGAUCGGCUGCUGUGGAGAACUGGCUGAAGGAGAAAAAUCCGUUUUCAGUGUCUGAGAUUUGGGAACGGUUUGUUACUGUAACAUAAGCAGAGCCCAUUCUAACCAAGAGAGAGAUA